AGAAUCAACGCUGGCGGCGUGCCUAACACAUGCAAGUCGAACGAGAAAGUGGAGCAAUCCAUGAGUACAGUGGCGUACGGGUGAGUAACACGUGACUAACCUACCCUCGAGUGGGGAAUAACCUCGGGAAACCGGGGCUAAUACCGCAUAACAUCUACGGAUCAAAUGCGCAAGCAGCUUGAGGAGGGGGUCGCGGCCGAUUAGCUAGUUGGCGGGGUAAUGGCCCACCAAGGCAAUGAUCGGUAGCCGGCCUGAGAGGGCGCACGGCCACACUGGAACUGAAACACGGUCCAGACUCCUACGGGAGGCAGCAGUGGGGAAUUUUGCGCAAUGGGGGAAACCCUGACGCAGCAACGCCGCGUGGAGGAUGAAGCCCCUUGGGGUGUAAACUCCUUUCGAUCGGGACGAUUAUGACGGUACCGGAUGAAGAAGCACCGGCUAACUCUGCGCCAGCAGCCGC
Molecule: ribosomal RNA, 460 nt
Filed under: uncultured bacterium
Lineage: Bacteria
Description: SSU rRNA
Rfam family: Bacterial small subunit ribosomal RNA
Source: RNAcentral